This 451-nucleotide transfer RNA is filed under the name uncultured Flavobacteriaceae bacterium. RNAcentral's name for it is "16S-23S ribosomal RNA intergenic spacer". The stretch from base 94 to 167 matches the Rfam family "tRNA". The record is from RNAcentral. Lineage: Bacteria; Pseudomonadati; Bacteroidota; Flavobacteriia; Flavobacteriales; Flavobacteriaceae.
AGAGAAAGACGACUGAUAGGAAGCUAUCAAAAAGAAGGAAAUAACUUGGUUUUAUUCUCUUGCUGUUAAUUUAAGAUAUCAAUAAUUAAGUAGAGUCUCAUAGCUCAGCUGGUUAGAGCGCUACACUGAUAAUGUAGAGGUCGGCAGUUCGAGUCUGCCUGAGACUACUAAUUAAAGGAAAUUCUAGAAGUUGGGAUUCUAAAUUCAUAAUUCGGGAUUCUAGAAAAAAGAAUCAAAAGGAAUGGGGAAUUAGCUCAGCUGGCUAGAGCGCCUGCCUUGCACGCAGGAGGUCACCGGUUCGACUCCGGUAUUCUCCACGAUCAGCGGAUAGCUGAGAAAGUUCAUUGACAUAUUGAAAAAAGAUACAUGAUAAUUAGAUAGAAAUAUUUAAUAAAAUUAAAUAAUUAUUGUAACGAGCAAUAAUUGUAACUCAUUAAAAAGACAAAAGUAC